GAUGAACGCUGGCGGCGUGCUUAACACAUGCAAGUCGAACGAUGAAGCCCAGCUUGCUGGGUGUAUUAGUGGCGAACGGGUGAGUAACACGUGAGUACCCUGCCCUUAACUCUGGGAUAAGCCUGGGAAACUGGGUCUAAUACCGUAUAGGAGCGUCCACCGCAUGGUGGGUGUUGGAAAGAUUUAUCGGUUUUGGAUGGACUCGCGGCCUAUCAGCUUUUUGGUGAGGUAAUGGUUCACCAAGGCGACGACGGGUAGCCGUCCUGAGAGGGUGACAGGCCACACUGGGACUGAGACACGGCCCAGGCUCCUAAGGGAGGCAGCAGUGGGGAAUAUUGCACGACGGGCGCAAGCCUGAUGCAGCGACGCCGCGUGGGAGAUGACGGCCUUCGGGUUGUAAACCUCUUUCGGUAGGGAAGAAGCGAAAGUGAGGGUACCUGAAGAAGAAGCACCGGCGAACUACGU
This 465-nucleotide ribosomal RNA is filed under the name uncultured bacterium. RNAcentral describes it as "partial 16S ribosomal RNA". It matches the Rfam family "Bacterial small subunit ribosomal RNA", at positions 28 to 506 of the family's 1533-position model. The record is from RNAcentral.